AGAUUGGAGAGAAGAUCCAAAAUUAUAAUUUGUGAUUGGAACUCCAUUAAUAUCUAUUUACUAUUCUAAUGAAGUUUUCUAACCUAAUUGAUGUUAUGAAUUGCUUAGCCUUGUCUGAGUAGUUCCAUUGUUAGAUUUAGGGUUUAUAUAGGUUAGGAGGGAUUAGCCCCAACUAUAGAUUGCUGAGUUGUGGUAAUUGUCAUUAGGGUUGUUCAUUAAUGCCUGUUUCUAUAUUAGCUACAUAGAACUUGCCCUAGGAUUGAUUGAUAAAAGCGAGAGUUUCAUUCUCAUUCUGAAAACAUUCUAACUGAGCUAAGUUUCUUAAAAUGAGUAAGGCGAGAGCUGAUAUAGUGAGUUUUGUAAGCUGUCAUUCAACCCGCGCAUAAAGCUUAACUAGAAGCGCGUUGAUCGAUAUCAUUAUUAAAUAAUCGAUUGACGGAGUGAAAGGUGAAUCGAUCGAUAUCCCUAUAGGAUCAUCGAUUGACACUUUCUAAUUGAUCGACAAACGAUAGUUGAGAUCAUUAGAUCUAGUUAAUAGACAAGUCCAAACAUGCGAAAGCUGAUAGACUUGUUGACUAAGUAGUUGAGCUUUACAUUUUCAUGCAUGAAACUCAUUAGGCAUAUGUAGGAUUAUAAUCCCAAGUUUUCUGAAUAAAAACCCUAAGUCUAGCUAUUUCCUUUUAAGCACCAAAACCUCAACCAAUCAAUUGAGCAAACACUUGCUUCAUAAAAACUGCAAUUUACAUUUAAAUCAUUAAAACAUCCUACUUAACAAAUCAUAUUAGAUUUCUUAGGUUCCCUAGCUCCCUGUGAAUUCGAUCCCUAAGUACUACAACUUGACCUCUUAUUUGAGAGAGUAUAAAUCACUCCUUAGGGUAAUUUGAGUGGUAUCAGGGAGACGAGAAUGGAAGUUCCGUGUGAAGAAAUUGUGGAGUUGAUCGUAUGACAAGCUGCAGUUGUGAUGUGAGUAGAAGGUGGUAGAAGAGUUUAGUAUCAAAUGGUGGUAUCAGUAGUAAAAAAAAAAAGAAGAAGCGGAUGGUAGAAGCAGAUAGUUACAUCGACAACAGAGAACCAAAGAACAGAUCGAGGAAGCCGAAGCAAAAUUCAGAAGGUGCUACCAGAAGAUGGAAGUACCUUGUGAAUUCGGGGACGAAUUCAUUUAAGGAGGGGAGAAUGUAAUACCCCUGGUCAAGGGCAUCAAUCAAGUCAACGACUUAGGAUCGACCAAAAUUUGAAGUAUUAUGCUAUAUAGAGUUAUGACUAGAGGUUCGGUCAAGGAAUUUUGAAGAACGGUCGAGCAAAAAUCAGAUUUGAUCGCAGAGAUAGGAUCUGAGCUACGAAAGGGUCAUGGUCGAGCAUGGAGAAUUUCCAAAGUCGACGAUUCAAGUAAGAGUUAAUCUCAAUCAUCAUGAUGGGUUAGUAGAAGACAUUUGGUCGAAUCAGAAACAUGUUUGUACGGGCCCAUAAGGAGAUGGUGCAUAGAGCUUCCAGAGAUGGUCUAUGCAGAGGUUUGGUAACGGUCAAAAGACGAAGGUGGCUACUAUGAAUCCAGGAGUUAGGGAGUCAAUCUAGAACCUUAUUUAAGGUAUUUGAAGACAUAUUUGAGAGUUUGGUCAAGACAAAACCAAGAUGGUCCGUAGGAAGACCAAGAUAGGCCCGAGGAGAACGGGUUUGGCCGACAUGGUCGAAACGAGCUAGUUAUAGGCAAAGGAAGCCAAAUAGAGUUGUGCAAACUUGGGAAAAAAGUUCAAAGGGAUGUUUCACACAUUUCCUCAACUUUUGGAAAUGGUCAUCUCAGAUGUCAAAAGUCAACUAAAGUCAAAGGAGAGAGAAUGAACCCCAUUUGUCAAUAUAACCCAUCCGAUCAACCGAUAGCAGCAUGCCACGUGGAAGCGACCAAAUUCUUUCAAUCCUGGACAUGGUGUGAUAUAAAGCAAGGGAUUUUAUGGUGAAGAAAUCAGGGGCAAAAGACAUCUUGAGAGCAAGAAGACAUGGAGAUACCAUUUGUUCCCGAAAUAGACUAUAAUUGGUAAUGGGAGCUAUGGGCUGAAGAAAGGCUUUUCUACAUGAAAACCACGACAUCUAAGUUGUAUUUUGGACCCAGGAGAAGUAUUGGAUUGGGCUGGAGCACAAAAAAAAACAGAUUAGAAGAUUGAAGACCCAAAGGUGCCAAAAUGGGUCAUUUUUGCUGUUUGGUUAAGGGAGGAGAAGGCUAAUGGAAACUUGUCAGGCACGAAAACGUCCAUACAGUGGUUCUUCCUCUACACACUGGGGUCUACAGGAGCAAGGGAGAGAAGCCUAAGGAGUAGGUUUCACAUGUGUUAGCCUUAAAGGCCAUUUUGGAGCUAAAAAGUGUUGAGGUGGAAACCAAACUUGGGAAUCAAGUUUCGUUCUGAUUUUUGGUACAGAGAACCUACUUUGGAAGGUGGUUUAACUUCUAGAAUAUGGUACAUAAAUGGUUUGAUUCAGAGAUUUGCAUGCAUGAGUGCUUUUGGAGUGUAUUUUGGUGACAAGUGGAACUACACAUGUCAAGUGUUUCCACCCCACUCUUUGGCUAUAAAAAGGAUCCUUAGGAUGUGUUUUAGAAGUUUAGAAACCAGCUGUGCCUUCUCUCUCAGUCGGUCUUAUGGUUUGUUCUUGAGAGAGAAAAUUUCUAAAACAGAUAAAAUUUUAUGAGCGUGUGAGAAGAGUAUAGGAGGCCUUUCCGUGUGUUGAUCCUUGUCCUAGGGUAUGUUGUGCUGUGCUUGGAAGGGUGGUAAGACCUUAGAUUUUGAGUUUGUUGGAGGGCUUCAAACGUGAGGGUUCUUGAGCUUGAAUCGCCUUUGCGGUUUAUGUGUGUGUGUAUGGGAGUUGGUAACCGUAGAGGGUCGGGCGUUUGCGGGGUGUGGAGGAUGACAAGGAGAAAGAUGUUUAUGUUUUCACUCGUUUUUAUUUUCAUGGGUACCCGUUUGACUCGUUAUUUUCUCUUUGUUGUUGUAUUUGAGGACCUUAGUCGAGUUUCUGACUUUGCAAAAUAAAUAAAAGUAUGUUUCUUUAAUAAAAUCACUGUAGAACGCUGAUAUAUAGUUUUGUCUGAACUUAACACAACUCUCAACCGAGGUACGGGUUUGCAAGCCUUAGGCUGAGGUCGAGAGGGACGGUAUCAUGGACGGACUUGUCGAGACUUUUAAAUUGUGUAGAGUUUUGGCCUGACUGACUGCAGUACUCGUCAAAAUUGUGGCGCUUCCGGGACGUUCCGGGUUAGUCUGGCCUAGGACGGUUUGGGGGUGCUACAGGCGGUCCCUGGGACCGAACCCAGAGUGCCUCCUAGCGGGGAGCCAGAGGCCGGUGUCCUGCCUGGGGUCUGGAGAAAUUCAAUACCUGAGUAUUUUUCCCAACAACAGUGCGGAUCAGAAAUCGAUUGACACUCAAAAGGUGGAAUCGAUCGACAAUAGUCCAGGAGAUUGGGAACAUGACAACUACAAUCCCACCAUGGCGGUACACACUGCGAUACCCACCGGAGAUACACUGCAUACAGAGGAGUAUGAUGAGGAUUACAAGGAGGAACAAGCUACAAAGUACAUAUAUAUUCGUACUGAGGAAGAUAUACUUCUCUACCAUUCCUUUUGGCAAAGGAAUGUGACAUCGAUCGACGGAAACAUUCCACCAUCGAUUGACACUCAUCAUCAUCAAACAAACCGCAAACGAGCAUCGACUGACAUUCUACUACCGAUCGAUCGAAACUAGAGUCGACCAUGCAUGAGAAGGAGAUUUGUCAAUUGGCAGUUGGGCAGAUGAUCGCUAUCAUGAGAACUAUGCAGCAGAGACAACAGUACAUGAGCCAGGAGCAGAUGAACCCCAUGAAGGUUUCACAACUGAGGAGCUACUUAACCACCAGGAACACUCAUAUACGGAUUCAGUUCCUGCAGAAGCUUGUGGAAGAGGGAUCUGUUUCUAUCAUCCUUACUCUUGAGCUAACCACCCAUCGAUUG
This is a long non-coding RNA of Brassica napus (rape), 3971 nucleotides long. RefSeq lists it as uncharacterized. Lineage: Eukaryota; Viridiplantae; Streptophyta; Magnoliopsida; Brassicales; Brassicaceae. The record is from RefSeq and is a predicted model, not a curated record. The transcript is spliced from 3 exons.